Molecule: ribosomal RNA, 450 nt
Filed under: uncultured bacterium
Lineage: Bacteria
Description: partial 16S ribosomal RNA
Rfam family: Bacterial small subunit ribosomal RNA
Source: RNAcentral
GUGGGGAAUAUUGGACAAUGGGCGAAAGCCUGAUCCAGCCAUGCCGCGUGUGUGAAGAAGGUCUUCGGAUUGUAAAGCACUUUAAGUUGGGAGGAAGGGCAGUAAGUUAAUACUUUGCUGUUUUGACGUUACCGACAGAAUAAGCACCGGCUAACUUCGUGCCAGCAGCCGCGGUAAUACGAAGGGUGCAAGCGUUAAUCGGAAUUACUGGGCGUAAAGCGCGCGUAGGUGGUUUUGUAAGUUGGAGGUGAAAUCCCCGGGCUCAACCUGGGAACUGCCUCCAAAACUGCAUGACUAGAGUACGGUAGAGGGUAGUGGAAUUUCCUGUGUAGCGGUGAAAUGCGUAGAUAUAGGAAGGAACACCAGUGGCGAAGGCGACUACCUGGACUGAUACUGACACUGAGGUGCGAAAGCGUGGGGAGCAAACAGGAUUAGAAACCCGGGUAGUCC